GAUGAACGCUGGCGGCAUGCUUAACACAUGCCAGUCGGACGGUAAGUGGUGUUUCCAGUGGCGGACGGGUGCGUGACGCGUAAGAACCUGCCCUUGGGAGGGGAACAACAGCUGGAAACGGCUGCUAAUACCCCGCAGGCGGUGGAGCAAAAGGAGGAAUCCGCCUGAGGAGGGGCGGGCUUCUGAUUAGCUAGGUGGUGAGGCAAUAGCUUACCAAGACGAUGAUCAGUAGCUGGUCCGAGAAGACGAUCAGCCACACUGGGUGUGAGACACGGCCCAGACACCUACGGGAGGCAGCAGAGGGGUAUUGUCGGCAAUGGGCGAAAACCUGACGGAGCAAUGCCGCGUGGAGUUAGAAGGCCGACGGGUCGUGAACUACUUUUCCCGGAGAAGAAGCAAGGACGGUAUCGGAGGAAUAAGCAUCGGCUAACUCUGU
RNAcentral lists this ribosomal RNA (436 nucleotides) under uncultured bacterium. RNAcentral describes it as "partial 16S ribosomal RNA". It matches the Rfam family "Bacterial small subunit ribosomal RNA", at positions 28 to 506 of the family's 1533-position model. The record is from RNAcentral.